Molecule: transfer RNA, 71 nt
Filed under: Bacteroidales bacterium
Lineage: Bacteria; Pseudomonadati; Bacteroidota; Bacteroidia; Bacteroidales
Also listed under: 3 other names
Description: tRNA-Gln
Rfam family: tRNA
About the family: Transfer RNA (tRNA) molecules are approximately 80 nucleotides in length. Their secondary structure includes four short double-helical elements and three loops (D, anti-codon, and T loops).
Source: RNAcentral
UGUCCUAUGGUGUAAUGGUAGCACACCGGUUUUUGGUACCGUUUGACUAGGUUCGAGUCCUAGUAGGACAA